CCCUUAGAUGUUCUGGGCUGCACACGUGCUACACUGGCAGGUUCAGCGAGCUUCAUGCCCUGAUCUGAAAGGAAUGGGAAAUCUUUUCAAAACCUGCCGUGCUUGGAAUAGAUGUUUGCAAUUAUUCAUCUUCAACGAGGAUUGCCUUGUAAGCGCACGUCAUCAGCGUGCAUUGAAUACGACCCUGUAUUCUGUACACACCGCCCGUCGCUCCUACCGAUUGAAGUUUUCGGUGAGUUGACAGGAGGAUUUUUUUGAAACUGGUUCGCCAGUGGAUUUUAGAUCCAAAUGCCAACGAAUCGAUGGCUUUAGAGGAAGGAGAAGUCGUAACA
Molecule: ribosomal RNA, 332 nt
Filed under: uncultured eukaryote
Lineage: Eukaryota
Description: partial 18S ribosomal RNA
Rfam family: Eukaryotic small subunit ribosomal RNA
Source: RNAcentral